CCUUCAUCCCUCAUCCCUCGGGGUGAGGGAGGGGCAUGCACGGUCUUGGUCUCUGUUUCUAUCCCAUCCCCCGCCCCCCACCCCCCGUCCCCCUGAUCUGCUGGGUCAGAGCCUGCAGUUGAGGAAGAUGAUCCCCAAGUGGUGCUGCCAUCCACCGAGCCCAGAGUUUGCGCAGCAAUAGACAUCAUAGCCUCACAGUGGAAGUGCCCCUCAGCUGUUGGACGGACACAGACGCUGGGUUGCAUGUGCGUGUUGUGAUUCUGUGCAGCAGUGAGAGCAAGCCAGCGGCCGCCACACAGCGAACACAGAUGAGCCCACAGACGUAGUGUGUGGCUGGAGAAGCUGACCCGGAGGAGUGCUUUUUGCAGGGUUCCAUUUAGGUGAAGUACUGCACACGUAGGACUGCUCUUCGGGAAAGAAGGCGGGCUUGUGGUUACCUUUGGGGACAGGGACAGGGUGGGAGAUGUGACAUCAUGCUGGUCCUGCAGGCUUGGUUCUCUUCUUAGCCCUCAUCAUGAGUUUGAAUCUUCAAGCUGCUCACUCGUGAUACACACUUUUUCAUCUGUCAUAUGUUGGUCAUUAAAAAACAUAAAAGGCA
This is a long non-coding RNA of Canis lupus familiaris (dog), 598 nucleotides long. RefSeq lists it as uncharacterized. The transcript has 2 exons. Lineage: Eukaryota; Metazoa; Chordata; Mammalia; Carnivora; Canidae. The record is from RefSeq and is a predicted model, not a curated record.